UACGAAGGGUGCAAGCGUUACUCGGAAUUACUGGGCGUAAAGCGUGCGUAGGCGGUUUGUCGCGUCUGCUGUGAAAACUGGAGGCUCAACCUCCAGCCUGCAGUGGUACGGGCAAACUAGAGUGCGGUAGGGGAGAUUGGAAUUCCUGGUGUAGCGGUGAAAUGCGCAGAUAUCGGGAAGAACACCCGUGGCGAAGGCGGCUACUCUGGGACGGUACUGACGCUGAGGCGCGAAAGCGUGGGGAGCAAACAGG
RNAcentral lists this ribosomal RNA (253 nucleotides) under uncultured bacterium. RNAcentral describes it as "partial 16S ribosomal RNA". It matches the Rfam family "Bacterial small subunit ribosomal RNA", at positions 524 to 776 of the family's 1533-position model. The record is from RNAcentral.